GAGAUCAAGCAGCUGGGCUUCCUAUAUAUCCAUAAACUGGACAGUCAUUGUUAUCCUGUGUAAAGAUCUUGAAAAUAGUUUUUAAAAGUACUCACCAAGUGUAUUCCCUGCUGUAAGCAUCUUUCAUGUGAGUGGUUGGGAGUGAUGCGCACUAUCUGCCUUGGUUCAAGGCAGACCAGGGGCAUGCCACAGUUGGUUCACAUGUAAGUGAGGAGCAAUAAGGAAGCCGAUAGAAUCUAGUAAAAGACUGAUUGGUGCUGCUUAAAAUUUAUUAUUUCAGGAACCAUUCAAUGACAGAUUUUACAAGAAAGUCCUAUUUUCUGAUCUGUCUUGAAGCUCCAUGUAGAAGGAAAUCUCCCAUCAUCCCUCACAGUUUUGGAAACUGGAAAAACCCUUCAGGAGCCCCGGACACAAGGUCCGAGAAGGAUGAACAGUAACUUUGUCUUGAAGCUGGCCUCUCCCAUGUGGUGUGGCUGUCCUUGAACCCUUCUCACCAAAGGCCUCUGGAAGAGAAAUGGCUGAGUCCACACAAAGGUGUCAAGUGGCUCCAGCUGCAAGGAGAGGAGAAAUACAGUGGCUGGGAACCAGGCACUUGAUGAAAUAGGUCCCUGCAGUAUUGAUUUUGAAUCUCUUUCACCAGUUAGCCAUUUUGAUUGAGGGUAUUGUCUGACACUGGGAUAGAAGGAAGUCGAAACUUGCCUUGAAUUUUAUUCCUCAGAUUCCCAGGGAGGGGGAAAAAUACCUUCACAUAGGUAAUAUAAAAAUAGCUAUGUUCCAAGGGAAUCUGAAAGAAAUAUUCAGAGAUUGCUGAAAACCAUAUAAUUUUGUAGUUGUACAAGCAGAGAUGACUUUUCUUCUUUAUUCAUUUUAAGAACAGUUUAAAUUGGUUUGUACAUAAUAAAAAUUUAGCCUUUCAUCA
Molecule: long non-coding RNA, 919 nt
Filed under: Bos indicus x Bos taurus (hybrid cattle)
Lineage: Eukaryota; Metazoa; Chordata; Mammalia; Artiodactyla; Bovidae
Description: lncRNA (ENSBIXG00000000959.1)
Source: RNAcentral